AGGGCUAUAGUAUAGUGGUUGUACGUUCGAGAUCCAAUCGAGAGGGGCCGGUUCGAUUCCGGCUAGACCUU
RNAcentral lists this transfer RNA (71 nucleotides) under Stereum hirsutum FP-91666 SS1. Its description in RNAcentral is "tRNA-Gly (TCC) (tRNA-Gly-TCC-3-1)". It matches the Rfam family "tRNA". Rfam says of the family: Transfer RNA (tRNA) molecules are approximately 80 nucleotides in length. Their secondary structure includes four short double-helical elements and three loops (D, anti-codon, and T loops). Further hydrogen bonds mediate the characteristic L-shaped molecular structure. tRNAs have two regions of fundamental functional importance: the anti-codon, which is responsible for specific mRNA codon recognition, and the 3' end, to which the tRNAs corresponding amino acid is attached (by aminoacyl-tRNA synthetases). tRNAs cope with the degeneracy of the genetic code in two manners: having more than one tRNA (with a specific anti-codon) for a particular amino acid; and 'wobble' base-pairing, i.e. permitting non-standard base-pairing at the 3rd anti-codon position. The record is from RNAcentral. Lineage: Eukaryota; Fungi; Basidiomycota; Agaricomycetes; Russulales; Stereaceae.